GAGCUGGAAAGUGUUGCUAGGGAGAGGGAUGUCUGGGUCAAUUUGCUUGGACUGCUACCUCAGCGACCCGGCACCGGAUAAGUGGAAGAAAAUGGAUGGAUCUUAAGAGAUUUUUGGUAUAUUAAGCUGUUAACCACACGCCCUCCUGUGUGGCUUCAUGAGGAGAAGUGGAGGUUUCUGAAAUCAGAUAACUGAACAAAGUGGGUAAUAAUCAAUAACAUAACAGACAGAGAGGUGAUGAUAACACUGUUACGUGUUUCUUUUACAACAAGCAGAGUAAAAUAAAACCUGGCUGUAAAUUUGA
This is a long non-coding RNA of Notolabrus celidotus (New Zealand spotty), 304 nucleotides long. RefSeq lists it as uncharacterized. The record is from RefSeq and is a predicted model, not a curated record. The transcript is spliced from 2 exons. NCBI's taxonomy places the organism in Eukaryota, Metazoa, Chordata, Actinopteri, Labriformes, Labridae.